This 126-nucleotide ribosomal RNA is filed under the name Ganoderma applanatum. RNAcentral describes it as "partial 28S ribosomal RNA". The stretch from base 70 to 126 matches the Rfam family "Eukaryotic large subunit ribosomal RNA", at positions 1 to 57 of the family's 3401-position model. Lineage: Eukaryota; Fungi; Basidiomycota; Agaricomycetes; Polyporales; Polyporaceae. The record is from RNAcentral.
GCCGCGACCGUGAAGCGUGUUUGGGCGAGCUUCUAACCGUCUCGUUACAGAGACAACUUUUAUGACCUCUGACCUCAAAUCAGGUAGGACUACCCGCUGAACUUAAGCAUAUCAAUAAGCGGAGGA